Molecule: small nucleolar RNA, 127 nt
Organism: Dipodomys spectabilis (banner-tailed kangaroo rat)
Lineage: Eukaryota; Metazoa; Chordata; Mammalia; Rodentia; Heteromyidae
Product: small nucleolar RNA SNORA28
Exons: 1
Source: RefSeq, a predicted model, not a curated record
AAGCAACACUCUAUGGCAGAUAAUCAAAACUAUCUGACACAAUUUGAGCUUGCUAUAGUGAGAAAGUCUAACCUAUUCCAGUGUUCUCUCCUCCAUGAGACAAGCCAUUAUAUAAACUUAAAACAAU